AAACUCCUCUAAGUCUGGCUGCCUCCAUAGAUAGGUCUGAGACCUCAGUGAUGCACUCCUGUGGCUGUGGAUGUGCCAGAGCUAACACUUGCCCCUGCAAGUCAAGUACUCUCCCAGUCAGUCUCAAUAUAUAACCCUCAAGCUGCUGAAUGCGAACUGACUGAUCUGAAAUCAUCUGGAACACAGUGGAGAUAUGGGGUAUCAAUGUCUGAUCAGAUACAUCAAGUGAUGUGGAUCCCUGUGCAAAAGCUGAAGUGCCCAACUGUCGAGAAAGUAAGGAAGCCACACGCUGAGAGAUCAUCUCUAUCUAGUCAUCAGCUAAUCUGAUCUCUGAGGGAUGUGCUCUGCUGUCUGACUGCUGGACUGGAGUGUGCCUCCUCGUAGACUCUGAUGGGCCAGCCUCAUGAUCUGAAACGAACUGAAUGUCUGGAGAUGCUGCCUUGAGAUCACGGAGGGGUGAAGAUGGUCCUUCUUCCUCAGCUCUAUCCUCAGCUCUGUCCUCAGCUCUCUCUUCUACACCUUUAGUCCAACCACCAUCAGUCCUAGUAAAUCCCAUGCGGUGCAGAGUAUGUUGGUUGAUGGUGUCAGAGUGAGAAAGCCUAGCUACUGCCUCCCCCUCAAAACUAACUCCAAACCUUCUAAAUACCAAAG
This 651-nucleotide long non-coding RNA is filed under the name Elaeis guineensis (African oil palm). RNAcentral describes it as "long non-coding RNA (EGUI_LNC079235)". Lineage: Eukaryota; Viridiplantae; Streptophyta; Magnoliopsida; Arecales; Arecaceae. The record is from RNAcentral.